Small nuclear RNA from Echinops telfairi (small Madagascar hedgehog), 105 nucleotides. Lineage: Eukaryota; Metazoa; Chordata; Mammalia; Afrosoricida; Tenrecidae. The record is from RefSeq and is a predicted model, not a curated record.
GUGCUUGCUUCGGUGGCACAGAUACUAGAAUUGGCACGAUAGAGAAGAAUAGCAUGGCUCCUGUGCAAGGAUGACACGCAAAUUCGUGAAGCGUUCCAUAUUAAA